AAUCUGCCCUCAGGAGGGGGAUAACGGUUGGAAACGACCGCUAAUACCCCAUAUGCCUACUGGUGAAAUGAAUUUCGCCUGAGGAUGAGCUCGCGUCUGAUUAGCUAGUUGGUGAGGUAAUGGCUCACCAAGGCUUCGAUCAGUAGCUGGUCUGAGAGGAUGAUCAGCCACACUGGGACUGAGACACGGCCCAGACUCCUACGGGAGGCAGCAGUGGGGAAUUUUCCGCAAUGGGCGAAAGCCUGACGGAGCAACGCCGCGUGAGGGACGAAGGCCUCUGGGCUGUAAACCUCUUUUCUCAAGGAAGAAGAUAUGACGGUACUUGAGGAAUAAGCCACGGCUAAUUCCGUGCCAGCAGCCGCGGUAAUACGGGAGUGGCAAGCGU
Molecule: ribosomal RNA, 385 nt
Filed under: uncultured bacterium
Lineage: Bacteria
Description: bacterial SSU rRNA
Rfam family: Bacterial small subunit ribosomal RNA
Source: RNAcentral